This 684-nucleotide ribosomal RNA is filed under the name uncultured bacterium. RNAcentral's name for it is "bacterial SSU rRNA". It matches the Rfam family "Bacterial small subunit ribosomal RNA", at positions 56 to 730 of the family's 1533-position model. The record is from RNAcentral.
UGCAAGUCGAGGGGCAGCAUAAUGGAUAGCAAUAUCUAUGGUGGCGACCGGCGCACGGGUGCGUAACGCGUAUGCAACCUACCUUUAACAGGGGGAUAACACUGAGAAAUUGGUACUAAUACCCCAUAAUAUCAUAGAAGGCAUCUUUUAUGGUUGAAAAUUCCGAUGGUUAGAGAUGGGCAUGCGUUGUAUUAGCUAGUUGGUGGGGUAACGGCUCACCAAGGCGACGAUACAUAGGGGGACUGAGAGGUUAACCCCCCACACUGGUACUGAGACACGGACCAGACUCCUACGGGAGGCAGCAGUGAGGAAUAUUGGUCAAUGGACGCAAGUCUGAACCAGCCAUGCCGCGUGCAGGAUGACGGCUCUAUGAGUUGUAAACUGCUUUUGUACGAGGGUAAACGCAGAUACGUGUAUCUGUCUGAAAGUAUCGUACGAAUAAGGAUCGGCUAACUCCGUGCCAGCAGCCGCGGUAAUACGGAGGAUUCAAGCGUUAUCCGGAUUUAUUGGGUUUAAAGGGUGCGUAGGCGGUUUGAUAAGUUAGAGGUGAAAUUUCGGGGCUCAACCCUGAACGUGCCUCUAAUACUGUUGAGCUAGAGAGUAGUUGCGGUAGGCGGAAUGUAUGGUGUAGCGGUGAAAUGCUUAGAGAUCAUACAGAACACCGAUUGGCGAAGGCAGCUUACC